GUGAGUAUAAUGUGUUAGUGUGAUCAGAUGUAGAUGAGAUCCACUGGAGUGUUUCUAUCACAGAUCACUGAUCUGAGAAUUCUAAUUUCCAUCUCCCCGGUAUUUGCAUACACAGUGUGUGGGGGGAACACCUCCCCUGUCACUCUCUCUAUAUAUCUCAUUGUACAGGAGACGUCUUCUAGUUUGGAUCUGACCCUCCAGAAACAUCAAGAUGAUUUCUCCCAGUUAUCUGCUGGCUGUCAUCUUCAUUUCUAUUCAGGGAUCCUGUGGAGAGACUGUGAUGACUCAGACUCCGGAUUCUAGCUCUGUGUCCCCGGGACAGACAGUCACCAUCACAUGUACAUCCAGUGCUGGUAUUUAUAGCUUCCUAGCCUGGUACCAACAGAAGCCCCAACAACCUCCAAAGCUUCUUAUAUCAGGUGCCAGCACUCGGCAAUCCGGAAUCCCGGACAGGUUCAGUGGAUCAGGAUCUGGAUCUAAAUUCACAUUAACAAUUAAUGGAGCGACUGAAGAUGAUGAUGGAAAAUAUUACUGUCAGCAGUAUGCUCAGGACCCUCUCACACAGUGAUACAGAGCCGUACAAAAACCUCCUUCCUCUUUUAUAAAGAAACACAAUCACAGAUGUCAUCACUGGAACAUUCAUGUGAAUAAAUCUGAUAAAUGGAUUGUUAUUGUUAGUAAGAGAACUGAUAAUCCUGAUGGGACCUUUAAUAAAUAGGGACAGAGAAUUCC
Molecule: non-coding RNA, 732 nt
Organism: Rana temporaria (common frog)
Lineage: Eukaryota; Metazoa; Chordata; Amphibia; Anura; Ranidae
Source: the annotation of a RefSeq genome assembly